Molecule: long non-coding RNA, 649 nt
Filed under: Homo sapiens (human)
Lineage: Eukaryota; Metazoa; Chordata; Mammalia; Primates; Hominidae
Description: HSALNT0367373
Source: RNAcentral
CUCUGGCAUCCUUUCAUAAUACAUGUUCAGUGUCAACCCUAUUUGCUGUGGCCUUGGAAAAGUCUUGGUCUCUGGAUUGGCCUUUGCAUUAGAGAGAAUGAGACACUCCAGAGGGGAGACUUGCCUGGACCUGCGUGGAGCUGCUCUGGCAGUAUAGGGAAGAUACCCCUGCUACAGGCAGUUCAUUGCUACCGCCUUCAUCAGACAACACAUGGACGGCAAGAUCUUAAAAACAUGUUUUUACUGUUUUGAACUAAUUUCAUUCUGGAAAACUCUUAUUGCUGCUUUAAAUUUUUUUUUUUAAUUGUCCUAUGACUGCUUUGAAAUUGCUCCUUUCUGGUCCUCUCCCUUCUGCUUUCAUCACUUGCUCAUGGCUUUAGGGACAUUUACAUUUUGGACAAUUAUUUAAUUCCAUUUUCAAAUCAGGUUUCUGAGUGCUGCAUUUUUACUCCAUUGUUAUGUUUUGUUUUGUUUUGUUUUAACCUGUUGCCAGAGGUGCCACAUGGGACUGGAACACACCUUCUGCCAGACACAAUCCUGAAUUCAUUAACUUGCCAUUUCCUUUGCUCUUGAUGGGACCUGACAGACAAGCACCUCCAUUAAAGGAAUAUUUACCCAACACCAACAUCUGCCAAGAAAAACAGAAGGA